GUCUAUGGCAACACUACCCUGAAUGCACUCAAUCUUUUCUAAUCUCAGAAGCUAGGCAGAGUCUGGCCUUGUUGUUACUUAGGUGAGAGAUCACCUUGGGUACCGAGGGCUGUAGGCU
Molecule: ribosomal RNA, 118 nt
Organism: Cercocebus atys (sooty mangabey)
Lineage: Eukaryota; Metazoa; Chordata; Mammalia; Primates; Cercopithecidae
Source: Ensembl